RNAcentral lists this unclassified non-coding RNA (390 nucleotides) under soil metagenome. RNAcentral describes it as "partial contains 5.8S ribosomal RNA, internal transcribed spacer 2, and large subunit ribosomal RNA". The stretch from base 1 to 122 matches the Rfam family "5.8S ribosomal RNA", at positions 35 to 154 of the family's 154-position model. The record is from RNAcentral.
GAUGAAGAACGUAGCGAAAUGCGAUACUUGGUGUGAAUUGCAGAAUCCCGUGAACCAUCGAGUCUUUGAACGCAAGUUGCGCCCGAAGCCAUUAGGCCGAGGGCACGCCUGCCUGGGCGUCACACGUCGUUGCCCCCCCAUCUACUCCUUCGGGAUUGCGGGGGGCGGAUGAUGGCCUCCCGUGCGCCUCGCCGCGCGGUUGGCAUAAAUGCCAAGUCCUCGGCGACGCACGCCACGACAAUCGGUGGUUGCGAAACCUCGGUUGCCCGUCGUGUGCGGUCGUCGCGCAUCGAGGGCUCGAAAAAAUUGCCGGGUUCCGGCUCGGCUUUCAACGCGACCCCAGGUCAGGCGGGGUUACCCGCUGAAUUUAAGCAUAUCAAUAAGCGGAGA